Lactuca sativa (garden lettuce) is the source of this 1639-nucleotide non-coding RNA. The record is from RefSeq and is a predicted model, not a curated record. Lineage: Eukaryota; Viridiplantae; Streptophyta; Magnoliopsida; Asterales; Asteraceae.
ACCAAAUUCCCUAGUUGUCGUCGCUCUUUCUUUUCUUCUCAAAAUCACGCCUCCUCCGCUCGUUUCUUCUCAUCGACGCACACACAAAACCUCCGCUCCAUCUGUUGAAGUUGUGUUUCCUCCCCAUGAUCACAGUCGAUAGUGUCUUCUCCGCCUCUAGCUUCGAUUCCUAUGUCACUACAGUUCUGACUCCACCUCCGACGACUUCUGCAACGAUUUAUGCAGAUGAUUUGCUUCUUAAACAACUUCUGAAAUCAGAUUUCAUAGAAAACUUGUUUUUUUUUCUUUUCUUUUUUCUGAAUUUAGAUGCGGUGUAAAAAUAUAUAGACUUGCUGAAAUUAAAUGUUUUUUUUUUUUCUAAAAUCAAACUCUUGAAAUGUUGAAAUCAGAAAUUUGAUGUUAUAAUGUUAUGAAAUAUGAUCUUAACUGUUGUUGUUGCAGAUAUAUGCUUUUCUUUUGAUGUGAAUCUGAUGCUAUGAAAUCUGAUGUUGAAUGUUGAUGAAAAUAUGCUUUUCUUUUGCUUAAAUGUUGUUGAAAUAUGCAUUUGUUUAGCUGAAUUGUUCAUUUGUUAUGUUGAAUUGUUGUUGAAAUGUGCAUUUCUUUUGCUUAAAUGUUGUUGAAAUAUGCAUUUGUUUGUUGAAUUGAUCAAAUACAUAGGAGAAAAGAAGGAUAGAAUUAGUUGGAAGGUUGAAGGUGUAGAGAAAACUUUUCUAGAGGCUUGUUUACAUGAAGUUACGGCCAAUGGACGGGAAUGAAGUAAUCUGGAAGCACUAUCUUGGAGGAAUGUGACUGAAAAUUUAAGAAGUGAGCAUAAUUUCAUUGCCGACCAAAAACAAUUGAACAACUGCUAUGACUACCUAAAUUCAAAGUUUGUUGCUUUUUUGAAGUUAAAAAAGAAAACCGACAAUGUUUACAAUCCAACAACCAACACCUUCAAUCUUUCCAAAGAAGGGGAACUAGAAACAAAGUCAAACAAACAUGUUUAUUCUUUGAGACACAUGUCACUACCCUUCCCCGACCUUUGCACACAAUUGUUUAAAGGCACGACUUCGACAUGCAUUGAUGGUUGGGGCCAAGUUCUACCCUUCCCCGUCUUACUCAAGAUUCAACCCACUAUAGUUUGAAUGACUAUGAUGAAAACGAUUGCACUCAACAAGAACCUAUAGGUCUCAGUAAGGAGUCUUCGUUUCAAUAAAAAAAACGAAAGACUAUAGAUACGACAAUGAGAAAAGAUAAGGGUAAAGAUAAAGGUAAAGAUGCAUCAAACUCGAGAUUUCUUGAAAUUGGGGAAGAUAUUGCCACAGUUGCUAAGAUAUUUUUGAAAAAGCAUGUUUCUUCAAAUCUUGGUGUGCGUGUGGAAAAGUUGGAGAAGUUAGGAUGGGGAAUAUUUGAUCCACUAUACACUAUAAUUGUUGCUCUUUUUGAUGAAGGUGCGAAUAAGAGGCAAGUUUGGCUAACCAUUGAUCCACCUAUUUGUGAGAAUUGGGUCAGGAGCGUUGAAGCAUGUUAUGGAAUGUUUGGUUAAGUACAUGUUUUGAAUGAUUUGAGGUUUUUUUUGGAAAACUAUAUGUGUUGAAUGACAAUGUUUUGGAUAACUAGAUGUUUUGGAUAAAUAGAUGUUUUGAAUGACUUGAAUGGA